RNAcentral lists this ribosomal RNA (352 nucleotides) under uncultured bacterium. Its description in RNAcentral is "bacterial SSU rRNA". It matches the Rfam family "Bacterial small subunit ribosomal RNA", at positions 917 to 1271 of the family's 1533-position model. The record is from RNAcentral.
GGGCCCGCACAAGCGGUGGAGCAUGUGGUUUAAUUCGAUGAUGACGCGAGGAACCUUACCAGGGCUUAAAUGUAGUCUGACAGCUUUAGAGAUAGAGUUUUCUUCGGACAGAUUACAAGGUGCUGCAUGGUUGUCGUCAGCUCGUGCCGUGAGGUGUCAGGUUAAGUCCUAUAACGAGCGCAACCCCUGUUGUUAGUUGCCAGCGAGUAAUGUCGGGAACUCUAACAAGACUGCCGGUGCAAACCGUGAGGAAGGUGGGGAUGACGUCAAAUCAUCACGGCCCUUACGUCCUGGCCACACACGUGCUACAAUGGCCGGUACAGAGAGCAGCCACUCCGCGAGGAGGCGCAAA